This 1343-nucleotide ribosomal RNA is filed under the name uncultured bacterium. Its description in RNAcentral is "16S ribosomal RNA". It matches the Rfam family "Bacterial small subunit ribosomal RNA", at positions 28 to 1378 of the family's 1533-position model. The record is from RNAcentral.
GACGAACGCUGUCGGCGUGCUUAACACAUGCAAGUCGAACGGAAAGGCCCUGCUUUUGUGGGGUGCUCGAGUGGCGAACGGGCGAGUAACACGUGAGUAACCUGCCCUUGACUUUGGGAUAACUUCAGGAAACUGGGGCUAAUACCGGAUAGGAGCUCCUGCUGCAUGGUGGGGGUUGGAAAGUUUCGGCGGUUGGGGAUGGACUCGCGGCUUAUCAGCUUGUUGGUGGGGUAGUGGCUUACCAAGGCUUUGACGGGUAGCCGGCCUGAGAGGGUGACCGGCCACAUUGGGACUGAGAUACGGCCCAGACUCCUACGGGAGGCAGCAGUGGGGAAUAUUGCACAAUGGGCGGAAGCCUGAUGCAGCAACGCCGCGUGCGGGAUGACGGCCUUCGGGUUGUAAACCGCUUUCGCCUGUGACGAAGCGUGAGUGACGGUAAUGGGUAAAGAAGCACCGGCUAACUACGUGCCAGCAGCCGCGGUGAUACGUAGGGUGCGAGCGUUGUCCGGAUUUAUUGGGCGUAAAGGGCUCGUAGGUGGUUGAUCGCGUCGGAAGUGUAAUCUUGGGGCUUAACCCUGAGCGUGCUUUCGAUACGGGUUGACUUGAGGAAGGUAGGGGAGAAUGGAAUUCCUGGUGGAGCGGUGGAAUGCGCAGAUAUCAGGAGGAACACCAGUGGCGAAGGCGGUUCUCUGGGCCUUUCCUGACGCUGAGGAGCGAAAGCGUGGGGAGCGAACAGGCUUAGAUACCCUGGUAGUCCACGCUGUAAACGGUGGGUACUAGGUGUGGGGUCCAUUCCACGGGUUCCGUGCCGUAGCUAACGCUUUAAGUACCCCGCCUGGGGAGUACGGCCGCAAGGCUAAAACUCAAAGGAAUUGACGGGGCCCCGCACAAGCGGCGGAGCAUGCGGAUUAAUUCGAUGCAACGCGUAGAACCUUACCUGGGUUUGACAUGGAUCGGGAGUGCUCAGAGAUGGGUGUGCCUCUUUUGGGGUCGGUUCACAGGUGGUGCAUGGCUGUCGUCAGCUCGUGUCGUGAGAUGUUGGGUUAAGUCCCGCAACGAGCGCAACCCUUGUUCACUGUUGCCAGCACGUUAUGGUGGGGACUCAGUGGAGACCGCCGGGGUCAACUCGGAGGAAGGUGGGGAUGACGUCAAGUCAUCAUGCCCCUUAUGUCCAGGGCUUCACGCAUGCUACAAUGGCUGGUACAGAGAGUGGCGAGCCUGUGAGGGUGAGCGAAUCUCGGAAAGCCGGUCUCAGUUCGGAUUGGGGUCUGCAACUCGACCUCAUGAAGUCGGAGUCGCUAGUAAUCGCAGAUCAGCAACGCUGAGGUGAAUACGUUCCCGGG